Molecule: transfer RNA, 69 nt
Filed under: Urocitellus parryii (Arctic ground squirrel)
Lineage: Eukaryota; Metazoa; Chordata; Mammalia; Rodentia; Sciuridae
Also listed under: 2 other names
Description: Spermophilus parryii (Arctic ground squirrel) tRNA
Rfam family: tRNA
About the family: Transfer RNA (tRNA) molecules are approximately 80 nucleotides in length. Their secondary structure includes four short double-helical elements and three loops (D, anti-codon, and T loops).
Source: Rfam by way of RNAcentral
GGAGCUGUGGCUCAGUGGUAGAGCACCUGCCUGGCAUGUGUGAAGCACUGGGUUCAAUUCUCAGCACCA